AAGUGUGAGGCAGUGAACAGAGUAGGUUCAAUAGCUCAAGGCCUGGCCCUGCAGGUUCGAUGGCCAUUUUGUGACAGACUCCUACCGCCGUGUAACAACAAAGAAGCUUACUUCGCAAGUGGGACAAAACUGGUCGUUUCAGAACACGGGGUUCGAAAGCCAAAAGUCGAUCUCUUCCAUCCUUCGGCCGCUGAGAUUAGAGAGAAAAAGAAAGCGACAGUGGUUUGCCUGGUCAGCAACUUCUACCCUGACAACAUUCAGAUCUCCUGGUUGGUCGAUGAUCAGAAGCAUGCCAAUGGCCCAAAUGUUCACACCGACCCCAACUCCAUCGCAACGGCGAACAAGACAUCCUACAGCAUCAGCAGCCGCCUGAGACUGGAGGACCAGCAAUGGGCCCAGUCUAAGAGGGUUGAGUGCCAAGUGUCUCACUACGCCAACGGAAUCACGGCUGAGACACAAAAUGUAACGUUAGCCAUCAAAGCCGAAAUCUGCGGUAUUACUGAAGAAUCGAAAAUUCAAAGCAUGGGGGCAGCAAAGUUGACAUACCUUAUUGUGCUCUGCAAAAGCAUAUUGUAUGCUAUAUUCGUGUCAACGUGUGUCUGGAAAACUAAGACGUCCUACGGCAAGAGGUUCGACUGACCAGCGACUAUUAAUGAACUCAAUGACAUGGCAAAAGGUGCAACACAUGAGAAAGGGUGGAGAGUGAGAACAAGCACAUUGUGAAAACCUAGGGAACGAUUUUCGCCCUUUGAAUUCCUUCGGCGCUGUAGUGUCGGUGGAUGGUCCUAAAGCUCUUUCGACCCCACGGAGAAUAGCGAAGAGAAUUUAUAGCCUACUCUGUCUUUUCCACUGGAAUAAGCCAUUUCCUGUUCUCCACAUUUCUUUAUGCUCUUAUCUAAAUCGGUUAUAGCUUUGAGGGUUGCGCAACUUUUCUUUGGCUAUUGCAUUGAUUCCCAAUUUGUAGACGGGAUUCUUUGAAGAUGUAAAUAUAAUCAAAAAAAAAAAUCUUGCAACGCGACUGGAGCCCAAGGUGCAUGUGCUGCCACAUCAUUCUUGUCUGCUCAUUCCUCAGUCUAUCUUCUGAGUCCCUCAUCUCGGGUUCCUUUCUAAUAAGGCUGUGCUUAGUCUGAAGAAGCAGCGAGUUGGGAGGGAUUGAAAUGUUAUUUUGCUCAACCAGUAACCUUGUAUUUCCCCGUUUCUAGUAAUGCACACAUGUUAUUGCUGGUUUCAGAAUGCUCCUCACCAAUAGCGCAGGGCUCAGAAUCGGCCAGACUUUGCUGGACCGCUCUCACUAGCUCGGGUAUUGACAGCUCGCUUGGGUUUUGAAGCUUUUAUUUUUUUUUUGCUCGUUGUUUAAGAAAUAAAGAGAAUAUUUUUUGUGAAGGAAA
Non-coding RNA from Carcharodon carcharias (great white shark), 1388 nucleotides. NCBI's taxonomy places the organism in Eukaryota, Metazoa, Chordata, Chondrichthyes, Lamniformes, Lamnidae. The record is from the annotation of a RefSeq genome assembly.